This is a long non-coding RNA of Beta vulgaris subsp. vulgaris (sugar beet), 314 nucleotides long. RefSeq lists it as uncharacterized. NCBI's taxonomy places the organism in Eukaryota, Viridiplantae, Streptophyta, Magnoliopsida, Caryophyllales, Amaranthaceae. The record is from RefSeq and is a predicted model, not a curated record. The transcript is spliced from 3 exons.
AAUUCAAAAAAGGUGGUCCGGAAAGUGCAUUAAAAGAAACGCCAAAUGAUCUAACAAAGGAGGAUUGGGAGUGGUUGGUGAAAGAGCAUUUUACAAGUUCCAAUUUCAAAAAAGUUAGUUCUAGAAAUUCCGGAAAUAGAGGAAAUUUAACAAUGCCUCAUCGCACUGGUAGCAUGCCAUUCAGACAAGUAAUUUGGGAUGAUAUGGGAGGUAAAGAAGGGAAGGAACCGCCUCCAAUAUCAGCUGUUUUUAAGAGGACAAGGAAAAGAAAAUCUGGAAAUUUAGAUGAAGAUGAGGAUGGCAAAUAUGUAUGU